GGGCAAGGAGUUGAGUAGGGAGCCCCAGGGCCUGCUGAACUCAGCCAUCUGGGAGCCCAAGCUAGUUCCAGCUUCAGUCACCAACGGCAUGUGCUCAAAAAUGAAUUCAUGAGCAAGCAUAAGUCAUCUUUGGGAUUUAAGGGUGGAGAAGUCUGGGAAAAAAACUGGACUUCCAGAUCACUUAUAAGAUGGGACCUAUUGUCAUAUACUUUAGAUCUUAAAGUGAAGGACAGCACGAGCACGUGCCGUGCCAGAGUGCGGGAAGAGCACUUUGCUUUGGCACAGAAAGCUGUGGAAAUUGAAUAUUUGGAACAGGUGGGAACCAAUCCGUUAUUGAGCCCCUGCCUUGUGCCAGCUGCUCUGUGUGCUUGGGAUACGUGAGUGCCCAAGAGAGCUGCUGUUGGAGACCCGCACUGCUGCUCCGGAACGCUGACGGCCCUUCCCUGUGGGCGGAUCACACUUCUCAUUUCCCGUCCUCACUAGGAUGGCAUUUAGCCGAGACACGCAGGAGAUGCUAAGCCAAAUAAGAAUAUGAUUGUGCAUGUGAUUGGCAUUUGCUGUGAGCACCAGAAACUUGCAAGAUAAAGUCUAAGCCCCACGCAUCACCUGUAAGAGCUGUGACUUACCUCUGCCUGCCAUUCCAGCCUCACCAGUGGGACUCCCCUGCUCACCUAGAAGCCCCACCAACACCAGACUGCUUGCACACCCCUGCAUCCAUCCUUGCCCGGUCCUGCGCUCCAGCCCCCACGCCCACCAUCGCCAUCUCCCUCAUGUGCUGAUAAUCCUUCCUUAGUCUUCAGGGGUGAACUUGGCUCUUUCUUUGCCCACAAAGCCUUUCCUCACUUAGCACCAGAGCCCCCGCAGGGGACUCCCCACCUUUGAGGUGCUCUUGGACCUUGGACCUAGUCUAAUCAGUGUGCUCCCGUCAGUGCGGAAGUGAUCUGUUCACCUCUCUGCUCCCCCAGAAGGCUGUGCGCUCCUUAGGGACGAUACCCACCCCUGCUGAGUACUCAGCAUGGAACCGUGUUCAGGACAGGGUUCUGUACAGCCGGGGUCCCUGUGCAGCGAAGGCAUUAAGGGUAGCAGGUUCUGUAUAGACGUUCAUUCACAUGGUCCUGUCACUUGACAACAAUGGGUUAUUGCUAUGAAAUUAGGAAUGCUAAGAAAUAAUACUAUCCAAUCUGCAAAAAGAUACACAUGCAGAAAGAGGAACUGAUGUGAAAAGAUACAAAAAAUAAUAACUAUGUAAACUUUAUUUACACUCACACUGGAAAACAAGAGCACAUGUAAGACUGAUUCACAAUUGCACAUCAGUGGUUUCUGUACAGAAUAGACAUUAAAAAUGAGAGGUUAUGAUUCAUCUAAAAAUAGAUACAACAUUCAAAACAGAUAUUCAGUAUUCACUAUAAAGUUCUAAAGGGUGCUACUAGGCAAAACAAACCAAAACAGAUGACAAAACAGGGUGGGAAGAAUUGACUUUCCAUACCCGAUUCUUCUGUGAGCUGAGGAUUCAUUCACUGAAAAUACCAGAAUAUGUUUGGAAAAGGUUCCUUCUCUGCUGUUAGCUUUCUGACAGGAAAAUCUUCCUAAAUUACUUGAAUCUAUUUUGACUUAAGUAAGUGGGGAUUAAAAUUAUCUCUCUCACAGAGAAGUCUUGAGGUAUACAUAAGAAUAUAUGUGUCAUGUAUUUGCAGAAAGCUUCACCCAAAAUUAGUCCUCACUGCAGUUUAAAGAUGGAAUAACAGAGUGAAAAGAAAAAUCAGAAAUUCCAUACCAUUUAAAUUUAUUCUGGCGUCAGAUCUUUGCAUUUAGUACAGAGGGUAGCCAACCAUUUCUGCAGAGCCAGAUAGAAACGUUUUUGACUUUGGAAGCCAUAUGGGCCAGUGUCGCAAUCAGUCGAUUCUGCCAGUUAGGGCCAGAGCAGUUAAUACAUAUGUAUGAACAGACAUGGUUGUGUUCCCAUACAGUUCUUUUUUACAAACACAGGCCAGGAUUGGACCCCAGGCCAUAUUUUUUGUAAAUCUUUGAUGUAGUAGAUUAGAAGUUAUGAGUAUGAAUCAGACUUUUGGCAAAAAAUUUUUUAUAUUCCUUUUACUUUUGGCUUAAUACAACCUAGCAUCCUAUUUGCAAUUUUGUUUUAAUUGGUUACUCUCUGUACUUCGGAAAUAAAGUUACAUGCUCUUUUAGUAUAUUUCUAGGGAAAAUUGUUUAAGAGAGUCCUGUAAAGAUCAGCUGUCUUUUGUUCCCAAGGAAAUCACUACUUAAAUACAUUCCAAAUGAAUGAAAAUAAAAGUUACAUAUGUUAGGAAAAUAGAAUUCUGGUGCUGACUGAUAAUCACUGCUUUCCUCUAGGAAACUAAUGGCUAGAAGAAAAGGAAAGAUAAGCAAAUUCCAAUAAUUUCAUGGCAUAGAAAGGCAAAUACAUCAUAUUGAUCAGUCAUUUCGAAAUUUAAUUGGAAACAUCCAGUAAGCCUUCCACUUGUUAAUUUAGUUGUACAUCACCUACCCCCAAAAAAUAUUGACUACUCUGUUCUUAUUUGUUUUUCUGCUUAUUUUGCCACCAGAGAGAAAAAAACAAAAAAUACCAGUUCAAAAAUAUUUAAUCUUUACAUGAGCUACCUGCUCUCUUCCUUGUAUGAAUCAUUUUCCAUUGAUUGUCUUUUUUCGUUCAGAGAAAACCUUGCUUACCUGCUCGAGUCUGGAAUUGGAGUCCGGUGCUUCUGAAACUAUUUGACAAGCCACAGCGUGAUGAGACCUGCGGCCCUUCCAGAUCCAGAAGCAGCCUGUAGGGGCUCUAGUUCUAAGUCAAGCAAGAUACAAAUAUGGAAUGUGACCCAGAAUAGCUCUCAUGACAGCCAUUGUUCCUAUUAACUUGUCAACAAGGCCUUUAUGAAGAUCAAAAACUUGAAAUCACAUGCAAACUUCAGUGCUAUAUUGCCCAACUAACUGGCCACAUGCUGUUUAGAGUAACAUAUAAAAUGACUUUACAAUACUGUAGGACAUGAAACUCUUGGAAAUCCUAGGGACAGAAUAAGAAGAUGCAAGAAGGAGUCAAUAUUUUAAUGUCUCUGAGGCAAUGAGCAAAAUUACAUUUGCUGAUGAAGGCACAAAUAGGCUCAGAAUCUGGAUUCAUCGUUUGCAGUGACAUCAAGAAGCAAACUGAAGAGCAUCUCAGAAAAGCUCGAGGACCCAAAUGUUCCAAAGCCCAGAGCUGCAGACCUUUGGCGCUCGCUUCCCAGAAGAUGCCGUGCUGUGGGCGAGGCUGCGUUGCUCUGCUGGUGUUAAUUUUGCAGAUGUCUCGUCUUUUAUAUUAUAGCUGAUCAAAUAUAAAUACAUGUCUAGAACUAGAUUGCUUGGAACUUGCUCAAGAUUGACCUGUGACCUUCAUUUAUGAAGAAUGGAUAUGCUUGAUUGCUCCAUACUGACACUGGGCAUGUUCAAUUAAUGCUUACAUUAUAAAGAAUGUGCAAACAACACAAACGGAAAUUAAAUCCUUUUCGCUAUCU
Non-coding RNA from Manis javanica (Malayan pangolin), 3506 nucleotides. The record is from RefSeq and is a predicted model, not a curated record. NCBI's taxonomy places the organism in Eukaryota, Metazoa, Chordata, Mammalia, Pholidota, Manidae.